Molecule: ribosomal RNA, 349 nt
Filed under: salal root associated fungus UBCtra1.07
Lineage: Eukaryota; Fungi; Ascomycota
Description: partial 28S ribosomal RNA
Rfam family: Eukaryotic large subunit ribosomal RNA
Source: RNAcentral
CAGAACGUCAUAGAGGGUGAGAGUCCCGUCUAGAACCGAUAGCCGCGUUCAUGUGAAACUCCUUCGACGAGUCGAGUUGUUUGGGAAUGCAGCUCAAAAUGGGUGGUAAAUUUCAUCUAAAGCUAAAUAUUGGCCAGAGACCGAUAGCGCACAAGUAGAGUGAUCGAAAGAUGAAAAGCACUUUGAAAAGAGAGUUAAACAGUAUGUGAAAUUGUUGAAAGGGAAGCGCUUGCAACCAGACUUGUGUUUAACGGUUCCCCUGUGUCUUUUGACCAGGCUAUUCCGUUAUAUCCAGGCCAGCAUCGGUUCGGGUGGUUGGUUAAAGGCCUUGGGAAUGUAUCUACCUUCG